UACGUAGGGGGCAAGCGUUAUCCGGAUUUACUGGGUGUAAAGGGAGCGUAGACGGCAGAGCAAGUCUGAAGUGAAAGCCCGCGGCCCAACUGCGGGACUGCUUUGGAAACUGCCCGGCUAGAGUGCUGGAGAGGUAAGCGGAAUUCCUAGUGUAGCGGUGAAAUGCGUAGAUAUUAGGAGGAACACCGGUGGCGAAGGCGGCUUUCUGGACUGAAACUGACGCUGAGGCACGAAAGCGUGGGGAGCGAACAGG
RNAcentral lists this ribosomal RNA (253 nucleotides) under uncultured bacterium. Its description in RNAcentral is "partial 16S ribosomal RNA". It matches the Rfam family "Bacterial small subunit ribosomal RNA", at positions 524 to 776 of the family's 1533-position model. The record is from RNAcentral.